UACGUAGGGACCAAGCGUUGUCCGGAAUCAUUGGGCGUAAAGAGCGUGUAGGCGGCUUGUUAAGUCUUGCGUGAAAUCUCGGGGCUCAACCCCGAGCGGUCGUGAGAAACUGGCAGGCUAGAGUGCGGGAGAGGAGAGUGGAAUUCCUGGUGUAGCGGUGAAAUGCGCAGAUAUCAGGAAGAACACCCGUGGCGAAGGCGGUUCUCUGGGACGGUACUGACGCUGAGACGCGAAAGCGUGGGGAGCGAACAGG
This 253-nucleotide ribosomal RNA is filed under the name uncultured bacterium. RNAcentral describes it as "partial 16S ribosomal RNA". It matches the Rfam family "Bacterial small subunit ribosomal RNA", at positions 524 to 776 of the family's 1533-position model. The record is from RNAcentral.